ACGAUGACGAAUUGGAUGUUCAAAAUUAAGUUCUGGAUAUCUCUAUUUAUGUAAAAACACAGUGAAGAACAAAACGAGUAUAAAAAAGACGUUUCGUAUUUCCUUUGAUGAUGAUAACAU
Molecule: small nucleolar RNA, 120 nt
Filed under: Arabidopsis lyrata subsp. lyrata
Lineage: Eukaryota; Viridiplantae; Streptophyta; Magnoliopsida; Brassicales; Brassicaceae
Description: Small nucleolar RNA snoR9
Rfam family: Small nucleolar RNA snoR9
About the family: snoR9 is a member of the C/D class of snoRNA which contain the C (UGAUGA) and D (CUGA) box motifs. Most of the members of the box C/D family function in directing site-specific 2'-O-methylation of substrate RNAs.
Source: Rfam by way of RNAcentral